CAUGCAAGUCGAACGGAAACGAUGGGAGCUUGCUCCCAGGCGUCGAGUGGCGGACGGGUGAGUAAUACUUAGGAAUCUACCCAGUAGCGGGGGACAACUCGAGGAAACUCGAGCUAAUACCGCAUACGCCCUACGGGGGAAAGCAGGGGAUCUUCGGACCUUGCACUAUUGGAUGAGCCUAAGUCGGAUUAGCUUGUUGGUGAGGUAAAGGCUCACCAAGGCGACGAUCCGUAGCUGGUCUGAGAGGACGAUCAGCCACACUGGGACUGAGACACGGCCCAGACUCCUACGGGAGGCAGCAGUGGGGAAUAUUGGACAAUGGGGGCAACCCUGAUCCAGCAAUGCCGCGUGUGUGAAGAAGGCCUGCGGGUUGUAAAGCACUUUCAGUAGAGAAGAAAAGCCCACGGCUAAUACCCGUGAGUCUUGACGUUACCUACAGAAGAAGCUCCGGCUAACUCCGUGCCAGCAGCCGCGGUAAUACGGAGGGAGCGAGCGUUAAUCGGAAUUACUGGGCGUAAAGCGCGCGUAGGCGGCUUUGUAAGUCGGAUGUGAAAGCCCUGGGCUCAACCUGGGAAUGGCAUUCGAUACUGCAGAGCUAGAGUAUGGUAGAGGGAAGUG
This 618-nucleotide ribosomal RNA is filed under the name uncultured bacterium. RNAcentral describes it as "bacterial SSU rRNA". It matches the Rfam family "Bacterial small subunit ribosomal RNA", at positions 54 to 663 of the family's 1533-position model. The record is from RNAcentral.